GAUGAACGCUGGCGGCGUGCCUAAUACAUGCAAGUCGAGCGAACAGACGAGGAGCUUGCUCCUCUGACGUUAGCGGCGGAGGGGUGAGUAACACGUGGAUAACCUACCUAUAAGACUGGGAUAACUUCGGGAAACCGGAGCUAAUACCGGAUAAUAUAUUGAACCGCAUGGUUCAAUAGUGAAAGACGGUUUUGCUGUCACUUAUAGAUGGAUCCGCGCCGCAUUAGCUAGUUGGUAAGGUAACGGCUUACCAAGGCAACGAUGCGUAGACGACCUGAGAGGGUGAUCGGCCACACUGGAACUGAGACACGGUCCAGACUCCUACGGGAGGCAGCAGUAGGGAAUCUUCCGCAAUGGGCGAAAGCCUGACGGAGCAACGCCGCGUGAGUGAUGAAGGUCUUCGGAUCGUAAAACUCUGUUAUUAGGGAAGAACAAAUGUGUAAGUAACUAUGCACGUCUUGACGGUACCUAAUCAGAAAGCCACGGCUAACUACGUG
Molecule: ribosomal RNA, 497 nt
Filed under: uncultured bacterium
Lineage: Bacteria
Description: partial 16S ribosomal RNA
Rfam family: Bacterial small subunit ribosomal RNA
Source: RNAcentral